AUUGAACGCUGGCGGCAGGCCUAACACAUGCAAGUCGAGCGGAGCGGCGGACGGGUGAGUAAUGCCUAGGAAUCUGCCUGGUAGUGGGGGAGAACGUCCGGAAACGGGCGCUAAUACCGCAUACUAUCAGAUGAGCCUAGGUCGGAUUAGAUAGUUGGUGGGGUAAAGGCUUACCAAGGCGACGAGCCGUCACUGGUCAGAGAGGAUGAUCAGCCACACUGGAACGGAGCCACGGUCCAGACUCCUACGGGAGGCAGCAGGGGGGAAUAUUGGACAAUGGGGGAAAGCCUGAUCCAGCCAUGCCGCGUGUGUGAAGAAGGUCUUCGGAUUGUAAAGCACUUUAAGUUGGGAGGCGUUACCAACAGAAUAAGCAACGGCUAACUUCGUGCCAGCAGCCGCGGUAAUAC
RNAcentral lists this ribosomal RNA (407 nucleotides) under uncultured bacterium. Its description in RNAcentral is "partial 16S ribosomal RNA". It matches the Rfam family "Bacterial small subunit ribosomal RNA", at positions 30 to 526 of the family's 1533-position model. The record is from RNAcentral.